Molecule: non-coding RNA, 2275 nt
Filed under: Pongo abelii (Sumatran orangutan)
Lineage: Eukaryota; Metazoa; Chordata; Mammalia; Primates; Hominidae
Source: RNAcentral
GAGGCAACUGCCUGGCCAGUGUGGAGGCAGCUUUAGUCCCUGGGACCAUUUCUGUGCCCAAGGAGAGGGAGGACAGGGGAAGGAUGGAAUUUCAUCUAGAGUAGCAGGUCCUGGUUACCUGGUAAAUUAUGCAUCAGGACUGGGCUAGCCACUGCCUCUGUUUUCUCUGGGUUCCUGAGAUAACCUCCACCUGCCUCUAGAUUUUGUGCCAGCUGAUCGUAUCUAUCUCAUCAACUCUUGUUCCAUCAGGAAACUGCAUCUUGGAUUCUGGGUCAACAUCAUCCCCACGGUGGAUCCAUUGGUGAGAGCAAUAAUGAAGCCGGUUUGCCACCAGGCUCCCAAAGAAGUGGGAACACUGACUGCAAAAGGGACAAUCUGAUUGGAUGAAAAGCAAGGCCUCAGAAGCAUUGGCACGUGUCCGCAAAGAGCCCAGCUAGAGAGACCCAGACACAUGCAAAUGGCCUUCUGAGUUCAUUCUUGAUGGAGAGGAGCUGGAAGAAUCCACUAAGGACAAAUUGCCCUGUGGAUUUAGUAAGAGAUCUGUAUAUAAUGGAGCCCCCUGAGGCUGGCUUGUUAAAGUAGUAUCUUCUGCUUCCCUGACAGCAAAUUCAUGUGCACUGUUUACCGGGAAAUAAUUAUGGUUUUCGGCACUGGCAAAUGGAUUCCUAUUUCUAAUGGGAGACAGUGGUUGGCAAACAUGAAACCUUGAGUUUCCCUCUGAGUCUGAGCUGUGAACUGAAGUCGAUGACAUUGACAAGUCUACUGGAAUAUCAUCGCUCAGAGGAGAAUGCAUGAAUGAUGCAGGAGGGUUAUAGGAUGAAUUCACUGAUGAUCUUGGAGAUGUUGGUCUGCCAGAAAGAAAGUAGUCAAGAGAAUUUUGAGAACUGCUUAAAUAGUCUUGCCAGUAUCCUUCAGAAUCAUGGGUGCCAGGCCUAUGUUCCAUAGAAAUACAAUCACUCCAUGCAUUUUCCGCAUUGACACCAUCCUCUUGUCUGGGCUCGGAUUUGGUGUCCCACGAAAGGGGGCUCUUUUUCGCAUUUUCACUGCCACCUCUGUCCUUCUCUAUAGCAGAUUCCCUAUCAGGCAGCCCGGGGUCUUGGGACAACCUUUGCCCAGCAGAAGGCCGCUCUGUUGCUGGCUCCAUUGCAUUGCUUAUUCUCAAUGAGCCAUGACUGGGCUCACUUCUUCCUGAAGAAUGACCUCUACAAUUUUCAGCAUUUUCUUCAAAAUUUUUAUUUUUGGCCUGAGGGGUCGAUGUCCCCCCAAAUCUACUUCUUUUGUGAUGGGAAGGAGAACGGGGUGAGUGCAUACCAACCCACAGACAUUCUUCAACCUGGGUUUCCCCUUCAGUGUCAUCGCUUUCUCUUCUGCUGUUCAAUGACAAAAUGGAACAGAAGUCUUUAUCUCGGAACCUAAAUGAUGCCCUUCUUGGCCCUCCUACGGUGGUGGGUGUGAGUGGUGGCCCCGAGAACUCACUCAAUACUUGAGGACUAUUUGUUCCUUGGAAGGCCUGGGACAGGGCUGGAUGCAGCCCACUCUGGGAAGGAGCACUUGGGUCUCCUUUUUUGGCUCUAUCAGGAGGGUUCUCAGUCAUUGGCUGUGAUGAUGGGACCAAGUUUCUUCUCUCUCGAUUUGCCCUCUUCAGCUUAGUGUUACACAUUAGGCCUUCUUGUUGAACUACUUGAUCUGCAUUGAGAAAAGACACAUUUAUCAUUCCAGUAAAAGGGCCCAUGGAUGAAAGGCCUCUAGCACCAAGCGCAAAAUUGCCCUUUAAAUGCAACAGACAAGACCUAGAGAAGAAAAUAGGCACGGUCAAAAUGGCUCGAGGUACAAGAGGAGCAGAGCCCAGCAGGCUUCAUUUUACUGCCCCGUAUUCUCCUUUGUACCCCUGUGGUCCUAGGGAAACAGGGUGACCCUGAGGAUACAGAUUCUUUCUGCAGAAGCUCCCGGAAGACUGGCCCAGCCCCAGCCAGUCAGGGUUGAUGAUGGGCAAACCUCGCACUAAAUACUGGCUUUGGUUCCAUACAUACUGAAAGGGAAAACCACCACUCUGGGAAUGACUUCUACACAAACCACCAGCCCUUUCUCAUCCACAUUCAUUCAACGUACAUUUAUGACACCCUGCCUCCCACACAGCUUUACAAGAACUUAAGAGAAGUACAACAUGUCUUGGCAGAUCAGGAGGAAAGCUAUAGGAGCUGGCACCCGGGCACACUAGGGAUUUUGGUCAUGUUUACUAUUUAGUGAAAAUAAAAAUUAUAAAUCUCUCAUGACA